RNAcentral lists this long non-coding RNA (1823 nucleotides) under Homo sapiens (human). RNAcentral's name for it is "HSALNT0261765". The record is from RNAcentral. Lineage: Eukaryota; Metazoa; Chordata; Mammalia; Primates; Hominidae.
GAAACUCAGGUCCCAGCUUGCAGGAGCGGGAACGCAGAAGAGAUAAGUGAGCGGGAAGGAAGUUGCAUUCAGAAGAUACAACACAUAGACAUAAGCACUCUGAUUCAAUAGAAGAGGAAGUUUCCCCAUGAUGUCUCCAGCCUGGGUCCCCAGCCACCCUUCUGAGAGUAUCUGAGUUGAUGUGGAAAUAUGAACACAACACCACGCUCUUGGUGUCAGAUCUCCAGCUCCAAUGCUGAGUCCAAUGUACAAAUCUUGUAACCCUUGGCAGACUUGCCCUCAUCUUCACUUCCUCCUCUACACUUUUGGGUUUUCCAAGUUUGAGGGAAAGGCAGAGGUCUCCAAUGGCUCUGAUCUCCUAUGCAGUGGUGUUAUUAUUUGUUUGCUUGCUUAUUUGUUGACUGCCCACAACCCAGUUCUUCACCCAUAGCCCUAUUUUAUUUUCCUUUGGAGAACUACCACUAUCAGCCCCAUCCCUCACUUCAGCGGGGAGUCUGUGAAUUGUGCAGGGAGCACUGUCCAAUUGACAUAGCUCAUCACCAACAAUGCUGCGGCCAAUUUUAAGAACAAGCCCGUGUCCAAUUGCCUCUAAAGAUCCAAGUUCCAGGAUUUUUGCCACACCUUCAGGAAAAAUAGCUGUUCAGUUUCUCCCGGCAUCCCUGGGUGGAAGAAAUGUAAGCCUGCAGCUGCCUGAGAACAAAGUCAACAGAGGAAGGAAGAACUCUAGGGUUAACAAACGACAAAAAAGGAUUUUAGAGACAUCAACCAAUUCUGGAACCUGCUGUGCCUGAAGCCGGUGUACUUCAGAACUUUUCGGCUAAGUGGGCCAAUGCUUGGCUUUUAUUUCCCAAUAGGCCCAUUUGAGCUAGAUUGAUCUUGCUUGCACCCCAAAGAGUUCUGCCUGAUAUAACCUCUCCCCUAGCCACUGUGUUCCACUUCCCCUCAGCUACUCUGCGUCAGACCCUGAAGCUGCCAAAAGCCUCCCUGUGAGACUUGAUCUCAAUUUCAGAGUUCACAACCCUUCCAUGACUUUUGGGAAAGAUCCUGACAUGUGCCCCUCCCUUAUAACAAGACCCUCUGUGACAGCCAUCAACAUAAAGUCAAUUACCAGGCCUGGUGGCAUGUGCCUAUAGUCCUAACUGUUCUGAAGGCUAAGGUGGGAGGAUUGCUUGAGCCUAGGAGUUCAAGAUCAGCCUGGGCAAUGUAAUGAGACCCUGUCUCUACAAAAAAUUUACAAAUGAGGAUUAAUAACCAGAAUACGUAAGGAGCUCAAACAACUCUAGGACAAAAUCUAAUAAUCCAACCAAAAACUGGGCAAAAGAUCUCAACAGAUAUUUCUCAAUAGAAGACAUACAAAUGGCAAACAGGUAUAUGAAAAGGUACUUGGCAUCAUUGAUAAUCAGAGAAAUACAAAUCAAAAUUACAAUGAGAUGUCAUCUCAUCCCAGUUAAAAUGGCUUAUAUCCAAAAGACAGGCAAUAACAAAUUCUGGCAAGGGUGUAGAGAAAAGGGAAUCCUUGUACACUGUUGGCGGGAAGGUAAGUUAAUAUAGCCACUGUGAAGAACAAUUUUGAAAUUCCUCAAAAAAUUAAAAAUAGAGCUACCAUAUGAUCUAGCAAUCCCACUGCUGGGCAUAUACCCAAAAGGAAGGAAAUCAGUAUACGGAAGAGAUAUCUGCACUCCCAAGUUUAUUGUAGCACUGUUCACAAAAGCCAAGACUUGAAAGCAACCUAAAUAUCCGCCAACAGAUGAAUGGAUAAAGAAAAUGUGGUGCUUAUACACAAGGGAGUACUAUUCAGCCAUGAAAAAGAAUGAGAUCCUGUC